UACGAAGGGGGCUAGCGUUGCUCGGAAUCACUGGGCGUAAAGCGCACGUAGGCGGUUUGGUAAGUCUUGUGUGAAAUCUUCGGGCUCAACUCGAAGUCUGCACGAGAAACUGCCGGGCUUGAGUAUGGGAGAGGUGAGUGGAAUUCCCGGUGUAGCGGUGAAAUUCGUAGAUAUCGAGAGGAACACCGGUGGCGAAAGCGGCGCGCUGGAUCCCUUCUGACGCUGAGGCGCGAAAGCCAGGGGAGCGAACGGG
Molecule: ribosomal RNA, 253 nt
Filed under: uncultured bacterium
Lineage: Bacteria
Description: partial 16S ribosomal RNA
Rfam family: Bacterial small subunit ribosomal RNA
Source: RNAcentral